Molecule: non-coding RNA, 78 nt
Filed under: bovine gut metagenome
Source: RNAcentral
UAAGGGGUGCUGCUCUAUUGGGCGGCUGAGAACAUACCCGAUAACCUGAUCCGGAUAAUGCCGGCGUAGGUAGGAUAA